This is a non-coding RNA of Pluteus cervinus, 86 nucleotides long. The record is from the annotation of a GenBank genome assembly. Lineage: Eukaryota; Fungi; Basidiomycota; Agaricomycetes; Agaricales; Pluteaceae.
GCAUUAAUGGGGUAGUGGUAACCUGGGUCGUUGCCACAUUCGAGUGUCAACUCGACCCGCCGGGGGUUCGAUUCCCUCUUAAUGCA